This 511-nucleotide ribosomal RNA is filed under the name uncultured bacterium. RNAcentral's name for it is "bacterial SSU rRNA". It matches the Rfam family "Bacterial small subunit ribosomal RNA", at positions 276 to 804 of the family's 1533-position model. The record is from RNAcentral.
ACGAUCAGUAGCCGGCUUGAGAGAGUGGACGGCCACAUUGGGACUGAGACACGGCCCAGACUCCUGCGGGAGGCAGCAGUGGGGAAUAUUGCACAAUGGGGGGAACCCUGAUGCAGCAAUGCCGCGUGGGUGAAGAAGCACUCCGGUGCGUAAAGCCCUGUCAGCAGGGAAGAAAAUGACAGUACCUGGACAAGAAGCCCCGGCUAACUACGUGCCAGCAGCCGCGGUAAUACGUAGGGGGCAAGCGUUAUCCGGAUUUACUGGGUGUAAAGGGAGCGCAGGCGGCGUGGCAAGUCAGAUGUGAAAACCCGGGGCCCAACCCCGGGAGUGCAUUUGAAACUGCCAUGCUGGAGUGCCGGAGAGGUAAGCGGAAUUCCUAGUGUAGCGGUGAAGUGCGUAGAUAUUAGGAGGAACACCAGUGGCGGAGGCGGCUUACUGGACGGUAACUGACGCUGAGGCUCGAAAGCGUGGGGAGCAAACAGGAUUAGAUACCCUGGUAGUCCACGCCGUA